UUUGCGUGAGGCCCAUUGUUGUGCCAUAAACAUGCGAAAAGGUAACAUUUAAUUUAGGUUGCGCAUCUGGAGCUCGAGAGGAGCCCUCAUCAGGCUGUAUUUAAAUUUCUGCUUUCCACCCCAGUGCCUCUAAAAUUGUUAAACUGUGUCGUCCUUGCGGCUUUAUUAAACCUCGCAAAAUCCAGCCAAGCUUAACGAACGCAGGAGCGGAGUUUCCGCCGAGUCCGGUGGAUUUGCCAGGCAGGAUCCUGCUCCCUCCCAGCCACUCCAGGAAGCCCCCGGCCCUUUGUGCAGGCACCAAGCGCCCACCAAUUGUGUCUCUAAUCAACUGCUCUGAGCAGGUUGGUGGGACCUGUAACUUCAGAUCAAUUGAGUUCUCUGCCCCACCUCUUGAGAAGGAUGGACAUCAAGGACUUCAUGCAGGGCAAAGCCCCUCCUGUCUCCUCCUGCACAGUCCCCUCAGGCUGCUGUAA
RNAcentral lists this long non-coding RNA (473 nucleotides) under Mustela putorius furo (domestic ferret). Its description in RNAcentral is "lncRNA (ENSMPUG00000024108.1)". Lineage: Eukaryota; Metazoa; Chordata; Mammalia; Carnivora; Mustelidae. The record is from RNAcentral.